ACAUAAUUUCUGCUGGUUAUCACAUUUGCUCAGCUCCAGAGGCAGUUGAAUGUAGAGCAAAACAAUACCCUGGACUUCAGAUCUCUCAGCUUGGCCAAGACGUGACUUGCAACCCAUCCGUUGGACUGAUUUGUCAAAACAAUAAGCAAGGUCUUCAGCAAAAGUGCUUUGAUUACGAGAUUCGAGUGAAAUGUUGUCAAUGUGGAACCAUAACACACAUCCCCA
Molecule: long non-coding RNA, 225 nt
Organism: Oncorhynchus keta (chum salmon)
Lineage: Eukaryota; Metazoa; Chordata; Actinopteri; Salmoniformes; Salmonidae
Exons: 2
Source: RefSeq, a predicted model, not a curated record